This 458-nucleotide ribosomal RNA is filed under the name uncultured bacterium. Its description in RNAcentral is "partial 16S ribosomal RNA". It matches the Rfam family "Bacterial small subunit ribosomal RNA", at positions 338 to 795 of the family's 1533-position model. The record is from RNAcentral.
CCUACGGGAGGCAACAGUGAGGAAUAUUGGUCAAUGGGCGAGAGCCUGAACCAGCCAAGUCGCGUGAGGGAGUACUGCCCUAUGGGUUGUAAACCUCUUUUGUCGGGGAGCAAAAGCCGGACGUGUCCGGCUGUGAGAGUACCCGAAGAAAAAGCAUCGGCUAACUCCGUGCCAGCAGCCGCGGUAAUACGGAGGAUGCGAGCGUUAUCCGGAUUUAUUGGGUUUAAAGGGUGCGCAGGCGGAUUUUUAAGUCAGCGGUAAAAUCGUGGGGCUCAACCCCAUCCAGCCGUUGAAACUGGGGAUCUAGAGUGGGCGAGAGGUAUGCGGAAUGCGUGGUGUAGCGGUGAAAUGCAUAGAUAUCACGCAGAACCCCGAUUGCGAAGGCAGCAUACCGGUGCACAACUGACGCUCAGGCACGAAAGCGUGGGUAUCGAACAGGAUUAGAUACCCCGGUAGUC